RNAcentral lists this ribosomal RNA (254 nucleotides) under uncultured bacterium. Its description in RNAcentral is "partial 16S ribosomal RNA". It matches the Rfam family "Bacterial small subunit ribosomal RNA", at positions 524 to 776 of the family's 1533-position model. The record is from RNAcentral.
UACGGGGGGAGCAAGCGUUGUUCGGAUUUACUGGGCGUAAAGGGCGCGUAGGCGGCCACCGCAAGUCGGUUGUGAAAUCUCCGGGCUUAACCCGGAAAGGUCAAUCGAUACUGCGGGGCUAGAGUGCAGAAGGGGCAACUGGAAUUCUCGGUGUAGCGGUGAAAUGCGUAGAUAUCGAGAGGAACACCUGCGGCGAAGGCGGGUUGCUGGGCUGACACUGACGCUGAAGCGCGAAGGCCAGGGGAGCAAACGGG